Molecule: ribosomal RNA, 433 nt
Filed under: uncultured bacterium
Lineage: Bacteria
Description: partial 16S ribosomal RNA
Rfam family: Bacterial small subunit ribosomal RNA
Source: RNAcentral
AACGAACGCUGGCGGCAUGCCUAACACAUGCAAGUCGAACGAGACCUUCGGGUCUAGUGGCGCACGGGUGCGUAACGCGUGGGAACCUGCCUUUAGGUUCGGAACAACUCAGAGAAAUUUGAGCUAAUACCGGAUGAUGUCUUCGGACCAAAGAUUUAUCGCCUUUAGAUGGGCCCGCGUUGGAUUAGCUAGUUGGUGGGGUAAAGGCCUACCAAGGCGACGAUCCAUAGCUGGUCUGAGAGGAUGAUCAGCCACACUGGGACUGAGACACGGCCCAGACUCCUACGGGAGGCAGCAGUGGGGAAUAUUGGACAAUGGGCGAAAGCCUGAUCCAGCAAUGCCGCGUGAGUGAUGAAGGCCUUAGGGUUGUAAAGCUCUUUUACCCGAGAUGAUAAUGACAGUAUCGGGAGAAUAAGCUCCGGCUAACUCCGUG